RNAcentral lists this long non-coding RNA (232 nucleotides) under Eucalyptus grandis. Its description in RNAcentral is "long non-coding RNA (EGRA_LNC004965)". Lineage: Eukaryota; Viridiplantae; Streptophyta; Magnoliopsida; Myrtales; Myrtaceae. The record is from RNAcentral.
CCUCCCUUUCCAUUUUUGUAGUUUUCCUUAGAUCCUUGGUUUAAUUACACUAAUAUUUUGCCUACAAUGCCCAAUUGGUAAAAGCAUGUACUUAAACUGCUGUGAGUAACCGUUUAUUUUGCAGCUAUUCAUUUUAAUAGCUUAGCUGGACCAUAGUGAUAUUGUUUUGGGCUUUCUCUUGGUUGCUUAAGUCAAAUUGGACAAAAAUUUGGGAUUCUUUGUUCGUGUUUUU